UUCUCGUUAUGCCACCCCCGCCGCGAGGCGGGUCCGGAAAGCCACGGGUCUUCAGGCACGUUCGAAGAAAGCCGGGUUGCAGGC
RNAcentral lists this non-coding RNA (84 nucleotides) under Thiobacillus sp. RNAcentral describes it as "c-di-GMP sequence". It matches the Rfam family "c-di-GMP-I riboswitch aptamer". Rfam says of the family: GEMM was predicted in a large-scale screen for bacterial structured RNA regulatory elements. Lineage: Bacteria; Pseudomonadati; Pseudomonadota; Betaproteobacteria; Nitrosomonadales; Thiobacillaceae. The record is from RNAcentral.